Molecule: unclassified non-coding RNA, 775 nt
Filed under: Leishmania donovani
Lineage: Eukaryota; Euglenozoa; Kinetoplastea; Trypanosomatida; Trypanosomatidae
Description: gene:unknown
Source: RNAcentral
AAGGCAAGCAACUUCGAAGCGUGUUUUCGGACCGACGGGAGCAGGCCCCACAGACCCCCAAUAAUGCAACCCAAAUGGUGCGGCCCGUGUUGUGCCGCGGGGUGUUUUUCCGGCUAAGCGGGGGCUUCCGGCGAUGGCGGCGCCCAGCCCCUUUUGCCAUUGCGAAAGCGAGUGUCAACCUUCGCCGCCAUCGCCGCCCACAGGGUUUUCUGCUCUGUUUGCGUUGCAUCCAUGCAAAUCUUUCCUCAUCAUUUCACUUUUUUCCCAGCCGCCGAAAAUCUUCUGGUACAACAAUUGUGUGCAGAGGGUGUGCUUUUUUAAAGGGGCCGCCGUUGCGGUUGAGCGCCCCUUUGCGAAAGCCAGGGUGACGUCUGAAAUAUGUGUGAAUCAAUCACAUCAUUUUCCUGUGGAAAUGGAAAGUGAGGGGGGGGGAUUGUGCGGGACACGGCGCCUCCUUUCCAGUUAAACAAAGAUCCCAUUUUCGUGAUGUACAGCCGUGCGUUCCCCUCCGGCAAUGGGGGGAUGUUUCCUUGGCAGUCGGUGUCGCCUUGCAUUUCCCAUGCUUUUAAGAAUGGAAACCGAAGCCAAAACUGCCUUUUCGCUUUCAAACGCGCAUAAUUCAGGCCCCAAAGAUCCAGAAAUAACAGACAAAAAAAGCAACGACAAAAACUUCACAGCAGAAGGUGGGGAUGCUAUCUCCGCAGCUCCACGAAGGCUUAAAAACCUGCACGUUACGUUUGAACUUGAUCGGCAACUUUUUUCCCGCGCUGCAAAG